RNAcentral lists this ribosomal RNA (468 nucleotides) under uncultured bacterium. RNAcentral's name for it is "partial 16S ribosomal RNA". It matches the Rfam family "Bacterial small subunit ribosomal RNA", at positions 28 to 507 of the family's 1533-position model. The record is from RNAcentral.
GACGAACGCUGGCGGCGUGCUUAACACAUGCAAGUCGAACGGAAAGGCCCUGCUUUUUUGGUGUUCUCGAUUGCCGAUCGCGUGCGUAACACGUGUGUAACCUGCCCUUGUUUUUCGUAUAACUUCACGUAACUGGGGCUACUACCGUAUCGGAUCUCCUGCUCCAUUGUGUGGGUUGGAUCGUUUCGGCGGUUGGGGAUGGAUUCGCGGCUUAUCAUCUUGUUUGUUGGGUAGUUGCUUACCAAGGCUUUGGCGGGUAGCCGGCAUGAGAGGGUGACCGGCGACAAUGGGACUGAGAUAGGGCGCAGAGUGCAACGGGAGACAACAGUGGGGAAUAUUGCACAAUGGGAGGAAGCGUGAUGAAGAAACGCCGGGUGCGGGAUGACGGCCUGCGGGGUGAAAAAAGCAUUAGCCUGAGACGAAGCGGGAGUGACGGUAAUGGGUAAAGAAGCACCGGCUAACUACGUG